Molecule: ribosomal RNA, 117 nt
Filed under: Candidatus Electronema nielsenii
Lineage: Bacteria; Pseudomonadati; Thermodesulfobacteriota; Desulfobulbia; Desulfobulbales; Desulfobulbaceae
Also listed under: 1 other name
Source: RNAcentral
UUCGGCGGCCUCAGCGGAGAGGAUCCACCCGUUCCCAUUCCGAACACGGAAGUUAAGCUCUCCAGCGCCGAUGGUACUGCAUGGGAAGCUGUGCGGGAGAGUAGGCCGCUGCCGAAU